GAUGAACGCUGGCGGCGUGCCUAAUACAUGCAAGUCGAGCGAACAGACGAGGAGCUUGCUCCUCUGACGUUAGCGGCGGACGGGUGAGUAACACGUGGAUAACCUACCUAUAAGACUGGGAUAACUUCGGGAAACCGGAGCUAAUACCGGAUAAUAUAUUGAACCGCAUGGUUUAAUAGUGAAAGACGGUUUUGCUGUCACUUAUAGAUGGUUCCGCGCCGCAUUAGCUAGUUGGUAAGGUAACGGCUUACCAAGGCAACGAUGCGUAGCCGACCUGAGAGGAUGAUCGGCCACACUGGAACUGAGACACGGUCCAGACUCCUACGGGAGGCAGCAGUAGGGAAUCUUCCGCAAUGGGCGAAAGCCUGACGGAGCAACGCCGCGUGAGUGAUGAAGGUCUUCGGAUCGUAAAACUCUGUUAUUAGGGAAGAACAAAUGUGUAAGUAACUAUGCACGUCUUGACGGUACCUAAUCAGAAAGCCACGGCUAACUACGUG
RNAcentral lists this ribosomal RNA (497 nucleotides) under uncultured bacterium. Its description in RNAcentral is "partial 16S ribosomal RNA". It matches the Rfam family "Bacterial small subunit ribosomal RNA", at positions 28 to 507 of the family's 1533-position model. The record is from RNAcentral.